AGAACGAACGCUGGCGGCAUGCCUAAUACAUGCAGGUCGAACGAACUCUUCGGAGUUAGUGGCGAACGGGUGAGUAACACGUGAGUAACCUGCCCUUGACUCUGGAAUAAGCGUUGGAAACGACGUCUAAUACCGGAUACGAGCUUCCGCCGCAUGGUGAGGAGCUGGAAAGAAUUUCGGUCAAGGAUGGACUCGCGGCCUAUCAGGUAGUUGGUGAGGUAAUGGCUCACCAAGCCUACGACGGGUAGCCGGCCUGAGACGGGUGACCGGCCAACGA
This 277-nucleotide ribosomal RNA is filed under the name uncultured soil bacterium. RNAcentral's name for it is "partial 16S ribosomal RNA". It matches the Rfam family "Bacterial small subunit ribosomal RNA", at positions 26 to 314 of the family's 1533-position model. The record is from RNAcentral.